This 2501-nucleotide long non-coding RNA is filed under the name Homo sapiens (human). Its description in RNAcentral is "HSALNT0336116". Lineage: Eukaryota; Metazoa; Chordata; Mammalia; Primates; Hominidae. The record is from RNAcentral.
CAAAAGGGCCUGGGGCUGGGUGAGCGCUCUACCUGGCUUCCCUCCUUGGGUGAGGAGGAGUGGGGUGGAAGGAAGGUGAGAAGGUGGUGCCCCUUUUCUGGAUCUCUUGGUUUCCCUUUGACUCUCCAUCUAGUAUUCUCUGCAUACACACACACUCGCACACACACACGCGCACACACAUGCACACUCAUAUGCACACGCACACUCGUCUCUGCCUAUGACUGUUCGAUAUCUUGUUGAAUAGGCUCUGUGAAGGGCUGGGGGAGGGGCACAUGUUGGAGAGAAUGCCUACUUUUACUUCACUCGCAAAGAUUCAUCCCAAAUUCUGUGGGGGUGUGUUGGCAAGGAGGGGAGGCAAGACUAAACAGAGGGGAUAAAAACUUGCAUCCGCAUGAUUGCUUUUUAAAAAUAUGACAACUUGUGAAAGCUUUAUUUUCUGUUUAUAGUGAAAGGCAUUUCUUCUUGCCAUUUACAGAGCAAUUCUGCAAGAGAGCUUCAGCAAAAUUCCAAAACAAUCGCAUCGAGAGUCGGCACAACGCAGGUCUCCCGACUUUGACUGGUUCCAGACGAAGUUUCUUUUGUCGUUUGCUAGCCUCCAGGGAUGCAAUCUCUACACUCUCUGUGGGAUGGAGGGGGAAGGUGAGUGGAGGGAACAUUAAAUAUUAGGAAACCCGAAGAAAAAGCAAAAGCAACUGCUUUCUCAGGCUGCCCUUCGGAGGUUCGUAGUCCGGGAACGAUGAAGGGAGACUGCCACCUAUGGGCCAGGUUCCAGGGACGCCCGCACGUGGCGUUCUGCGGGACAGACGCAGUCUUAAGGUAGAAGGGAAGGCGUCUUCAUGGGACAGUGAGUCACCGCACACUCUGCUUGCAGGCAGAAGCACUCUUAACUCAUUCAGGACAGAUGAGCAUUUUCCCAAUUUAAAGGACACUUUUUUUUUUUUUUAAACAAGAGUGUGAUCUUGUAAGCCAAGUUUUGUAAUACAAACAAAAUAAUGGAACUGACACCCCAGGACCCACCAUUUAAAUUAAACAGAUGUUCAGUUCAGUUUGGCUGCUAGGUUCCACAGUGGGAUCCACUCCAGCACUAUACCUGAAAUUGUGUGGCUGCUUAACAAAAAUGAAUCAGCAUAAUGAAUCAGAGAUAAACAUCCUCUUGCCGUGCCGUCCCAGUAGAAAAGCAACAGGAUAAAUAACAAUUGGGCAAAUAUCAAACCCAUUCCAGCAGAUGCCUGUGGGUGGGGGCAAGGGAAAUGAAAGUGGAAUCAGACACAAAGGGGAAUAUAAAAGGAAGCACAGUUGUAAAACUAGAGAGGGACCUCACAUACAGUCACGGUAAUGGGAUAAGAACUGAGGAGUAUAAUUCAAUCACCUCUGCUCCCAACGUGAAAAAGAAAAGUUAUAUGCUUUGAGCUUGGCAAGUGGGAGACGGCUACUGUGUUAUAAUGGUUCCAAUGGUAUCAUACAGUUGUCCUUUGAUAUUUGAGAUCUAUGUGUUCGUGAAUAGCAAAUCCUAUUAUUCCCAUUGUCUUCCAUUAUAAAAUCAGAUCUGCCACACAACACCUAUACGAUACUGGAUUUAGAGUAACCAAGCAGUCCCGACUCCUGUUGCAGAGAAGGGAGUGGUGUAGGUAUUUGUGUGUGCAUUUUUUUGUCUGAGUGUGUGUACAUGUGCAUGUAUAUGAAAGCAUGUGUGUAUGUAUGAGUGUUUAAAAAAGGAGCUCAGGAAGGAUUAUGGUUCUGUCACUCCAAACCAAAGGAGAUUUAAGGUCCUCUGCCCAGCAUUGUAGCACCUAGAGAAAAGCUAACCCUGUCCAGGGAGGCAUCUCCCCUGAAUAGGCACAUGUACUGAAUAGGCACACUGCCUUCCAGACCCAUCAGAAAGGCAGAGUUGGGCUGUAGAGUCUUCAACAGAAAUCAGCAAGUAAAACUUGGGAUGCUAGAAUGGUACUGUACUUUCAGCAAGUGGCAAAGGAAACACAGGAAAGAAUCCAACAGAAGCAGGAUGGGGAUUUUCUGGGCAGACUAGUAGGCUGGGUGAGGGAGAAUAACCCAGUGUUGCACUCUAUGUAUAAUCCACAUUUUGUUUGCCCAUUUUGCUCCUGAAGGACCUGUAGGAGACAGGAGCUAGGCCAGAACUGUUCUCUUAGCCCCACCAACUAAGGGUUAGUAGCAUCAGUUCCUAAGUGAAGAAGAACUGGCAACCGAUACCAGAAUCCAUCGAAUGUCCUUUAGGGUUCUUUAUACAUAAAAACAUAAAUAGUGCCAAAUUCUCAUUAGUAGCUCAGUUGCUCUUUAAAAAAACACUCCUUUUAUCUUUUAUGAAGUGUAAGUUCAAGAGUCUUUCUAGAUGUUGUAAUAUUCGGACACCUGGUUUAGGAGGCCUCUCUCUCCCCCCUUCAUAUAUGUGAACCAUAACCAGGAAGAUCUGAGUAUCUUUAACGUAUAUUAGUAAAUUAUAUAUACUAUCGUUUCAUGUACUUUACAUUUUAUGUAAAUUAUAU